AUUGAACGCUGGCGGCAGGCCUAACACAUGCAAGUCGAGCGGAUGAAGGGAGCUUGCUCCUGGAUUCAGCGGCGGACGGGUGAGUAAUGCCUAGGAAUCUGCCUGGUAGUGGGGGAUAACGCCCGGAAACGGGCGCUAAUACCGCAUACGUCCUGAGGGAGAAAGUGGGGGAUCUUCGGACCUCACGCUAUCAGAUGAGCCUAGGUCGGAUUAGCUAGUUGGUGGGGUAAAGGCCUACCAAGGCGACGAUCCGUAACUGGUCUGAGAGGAUGAUCAGUCACACUGGAACUGAGACACGGUCCAGACUCCUACGGGAGGCAGCAGUGGGGAAUAUUGGACGAUGGGCGAAAGCCUGAUCCAGCCAUGCCGCGUGUGUGAAGAAGGUCUUCGGAUUGUAAAGCACUUUAAGUUGGGAGGAAGGGCAGUAAGUUAAUACCUUGCUGUUUUGACGUUACCAACAGAAUAAGCACCGGCUAACUUCGUG
This 484-nucleotide ribosomal RNA is filed under the name uncultured bacterium. Its description in RNAcentral is "partial 16S ribosomal RNA". It matches the Rfam family "Bacterial small subunit ribosomal RNA", at positions 30 to 507 of the family's 1533-position model. The record is from RNAcentral.